This 151-nucleotide ribosomal RNA is filed under the name Varicellaria hemisphaerica. RNAcentral's name for it is "5.8S ribosomal RNA". It matches the Rfam family "5.8S ribosomal RNA". From Rfam's summary of the family: 5.8S ribosomal RNA (5.8S rRNA) is a component of the large subunit of the eukaryotic ribosome. It is transcribed by RNA polymerase I as part of the 45S precursor that also contains 18S and 28S rRNA. Lineage: Eukaryota; Fungi; Ascomycota; Lecanoromycetes; Pertusariales; Pertusariaceae. The record is from RNAcentral.
CUUUCAACAACGGAUCUCUUGGUUCUGGCAUCGAUGAAGAACGCAGCGAAAUGCGAUAAGUAAUGUGAAUUGCAGAAUUUAGUGAAUCAUCGAAUCUUUGAACGCACAUUGCGCCCUCUGGUACUCCGGGGGGCAUGCCUGUUCGAGCGUC